This 385-nucleotide ribosomal RNA is filed under the name uncultured bacterium. RNAcentral's name for it is "bacterial SSU rRNA". It matches the Rfam family "Bacterial small subunit ribosomal RNA", at positions 355 to 738 of the family's 1533-position model. The record is from RNAcentral.
UAGGGAAUAUUGGGCAAUGGCCGCGAGGCUGACCCAGCCAUGCCGCGUGCAGGAAGAAGGCCUUCUGGGUUGUAAACUGCUUUUAUCUGGGAAGAAAACGCCCAUGCGUGGGUAACUGACGGUACCAGAUGAAUAAGCACCGGCUAACUCCGUGCCAGCAGCCGCGGUAAUACGGAGGGUGCAAGCGUUGUCCGGAUUUAUUGGGUUUAAAGGGUGCGUAGGCGGCCCGUUAAGUCAGCGGUGAAAUCCCGGGGCUCAACCCCGGAACUGCCGUUGAUACUGGCGGGCUUGAGUUCGGUCGAGGCGGGCGGAACUGGCGGUGUAGCGGUGAAAUGCUUAGAUACCGCCAAGAACCCCGAUUGCGUAGGCAGCUCGCUUGGCCGAA